AGGGGGCUCCAUGUAUUCUUAUUUACAGCUAGUAACAUUGAUAUGCUUUGAGGUCGGGAGGGAUGCAUAUGGUGCAGAUGGAACCCUGGUGCCCAACCGACACUAUGAGGCGAAAGCUGGACUGAGCAAGCUGAAUUCGAGACCUGGGACUGCCACUCCGUACACCAUCCGACCUGAGGGUUCACUAUGCAUCUUUCGAGGAUGUGGCAAACUCUGCCCGAUCACCUCCCCGCGAGCGAUGAACUACCUUGGUGUGUAAAGUCCUUUUAUCUGAGAAGAGCCCCCACAGUUGAAGCAUUUGGUUGCCGAAACCUGAUGAAUAAGCCCAACCUAAUUAUGUCUCGACAUCCUCGCUGGGACAUACCGAGCGGGUGCUAUCCUUCGUUAUUGGGCGCAGCCGUUGCGUAGGUGGCCUAGUAUCUCGUUGGGGUAUGGUCGGCUCUCUCCGUUGACCGGCUCUUGACUCUGCUUAACUUGCACUAGACUGAGGCGACUGCACUUCCGUGUGUAGAGGUAGGAGGCGAUAACAUCUGGACGACCUGGACAUUCUUACGCGGGCCGCUGGCGUCUUAACUGAGGCUGACGCACGCAAGCGUGGCGAGCACACAGGAUUAGAUACCCUGGGAGUCGCCGCCGAUCACAAUGAGUACUCAAUGUCGCGCUUAUACCGGUACGAGAUGUUAACAAUUAAGUACUCCGCCUGAGUAGUCGUACGCACUAUGAAACUUAAAGAUUUCCCCGGAGAUCGCACACCGGGGGGAUUAAAGUGGUUAAUUCGAAGAUCCCCAAAAACCUUACCAGUCUUGACCUGUUUUGCGAAACGGUAGUAAUAUCGUGGAGGUAUCAGAACUCAGGUGGUGCAUGGUUGUCGUCAGCUCCUGUCGUGAGAUGUUAGGUUAAGUCCUAAAACGAGCGAAACCCCUAUCGUUAGUUGCCAGCACGUUAUGGGUGGGGACUUUAACGAGACUGCCAGUGAUAAAUUGGAAGAGGGUGAGGAUCA
Molecule: small RNA, 1000 nt
Filed under: Candidatus Phytoplasma citri
Lineage: Bacteria; Bacillati; Mycoplasmatota; Mollicutes; Acholeplasmatales; Acholeplasmataceae
Description: bacterial SSU rRNA
Rfam family: Bacterial small subunit ribosomal RNA (bases 190-1000)
Source: RNAcentral